GGUUUCUCUGUGUAGCACUGGCUGUCCUGGAACUCACUCUGUAGACCAGGCUGGCCUCGAACUCACAGAGAUCCACCUGCCUCUGCUUCCCAAGUGCUGGGACUAAAGGCGUGCGCCACCACUGCCC
This 127-nucleotide microRNA precursor is filed under the name Cricetulus griseus (Chinese hamster). Its description in RNAcentral is "miRNA (ENSCGRG00001003100.1)". Lineage: Eukaryota; Metazoa; Chordata; Mammalia; Rodentia; Cricetidae. The record is from RNAcentral.